RNAcentral lists this ribosomal RNA (253 nucleotides) under uncultured bacterium. RNAcentral's name for it is "partial 16S ribosomal RNA". It matches the Rfam family "Bacterial small subunit ribosomal RNA", at positions 524 to 776 of the family's 1533-position model. The record is from RNAcentral.
AACGUAGGUUCCGAGCGUUAUCCGGAUUUACUGGGCGUAAAGCGCGUUCAGGCGGUUUGGCAAGUCGGGCAUGAAAUCUCUCGGCUCAACCGGGAGAGGUUGUCCGAUACUGCUGGACUUGAGGGCAGUAGAGGGUGGUGGAAUUCCGGGUGUAGUGGUGAAAUGCGUAGAUAUCCGGAGGAACACCAGUGGCGAAGGCAAUCCCCUGGGCCUGCACUGACGCUCAUGCACGAAAGCGUGGGGAGCAAACAGG